CCUACGGGAGGCAGCAGUGAGGAAUAUUGGUCAAUGGACGAGAGUCUGAACCAGCCAAGUAGCGUGAAGGAUGACUGCCCUAUGGGUGGUAAACUUCUUUUAUAAAGGAAUAAAACGAGGCACGUGUGCAUUUUUGCAUGUACUUUAUGAAUAAGGCUCGGCUAACUCCGUGCCAGCAGCCGCGGUAAUACGGAGGCUCCGAGCGUUAUCCGGAUUUAUUGGGUUUAAAGGGAGCGUAGAUGGGUUGUUAAGUCAGUUGUGAAAGUUUACGGCUCAACCGUAAAAUUGCAAUUGAAACUGGCAGUCUUGAGUACGGUUGAGGUAGGCGGAAUUCGUGGUGUAGCGGUGAAAUGCUUAGAGAUCACGAAGAACCCCGAUUGCGAAGGCAGCUUACUAGACUGUGACUGACAUUGAUGCUCGAAAGUGUGGGUAUCAAACAGGAUUAGAUACCCUAGUAGUC
RNAcentral lists this ribosomal RNA (460 nucleotides) under uncultured bacterium. Its description in RNAcentral is "partial 16S ribosomal RNA". It matches the Rfam family "Bacterial small subunit ribosomal RNA", at positions 338 to 795 of the family's 1533-position model. The record is from RNAcentral.